UAAAUCACAAUCAUAUAACUGACACAUACCGAGCCAAAAAAUAAUAUUAUACAUACUCGAUUUGCAAAUUGCAAAUAUCAAUACAAAUCAUAUUAUAAAUACACAAUAUGCAAAGAACAGUAAGGAGCUGCGGAUGGCGCAUAGUAUUUUUUCGAUUUACUAUUUAUUAGAUUUUUAAUAUAAAAGACAGAAUAUCAUGUUACUUUCUACAUGGCCUUUUUUGCAAAAAAAAUGGUUUUUUUAUAUAGAAUUCACAGUAAAUGUUUUAGGACCUUAGGGAGACACUCGUGUUAACAGACCUAGUAAAUAAAUAUGCAUAUAAGGAAAGAAACAGCAAUGGCUACCACAUGGAAACAUGUGGAGAGAUAUCUAUACAUAAGAAACAAAAAUGACUUAUGUACCAUGGCUAUUUCACGGCCAUAACAAAAAGGAAGUGAAACAGAAGAACUUCAAUACGUACAGCAGUACUAUUAGAGUUGACGAAGGGCUGGUGCUGCUUACUGUUUUCCUGCCGGACGAUUCGUGCUUGCGGAUGUUGAUGUUAACCUCAAUCUGUCUGCAAGUUUUUCUUUAGUUUCUCUUAUUUCUUCAGUAGCUGCAUAAGCAAUCACAUGUGUCUUUGAUCUGAAUGUUUACUGUAGCCAGAAUCUUGCUGCGUUCCUGCUGUGGCCCAGACCUAAUUUUAGCUUGUUUAAUUAGCGUUUGACCCGGCACAAUCUGGGCUCGUGGGAUGGCACACGCAACUAUUGGAUUGUGGCGAAUUUCCCGUUGGUUCAGUUAAGCGAUGAAAUGAAAGGAAAGACUAAAAAUGAAGCAAGUUUUGGCAUGGAAAAAGCCUUUCUCUAUGACUGAAUUUCUGUUCUCUGUUUCCUUCAACCUCAUGUGUGUGUGUUGUGUUCUUUAGAAAUAAAAUUCAGAUAAAAGAGAGCAGAUAAGUGAUGAAAACUGACAGUGGAAUCAUUAAUUGAAAACUACAUAUUAGAUCAAUGAAUUUUGGGGUCGCCAAACUGCUUCAUAUAUCUUCGUGAACCAUGAGAAAAUGUACGGAAUAAAAAUAGCUUCAGUUUGCCUAAUUAAUUUUUGGACAGGGCGUGGUCUAGUAAUAAUGAUCAAACGUCAAGUAUGUUGAGGACAGACAUAGUCACCUAUGUCAAACCUUCAUGAUUCAUGGCAUUGCCUGUAUAUGUAUUAGAUUGGGUCACGUUCUUCAAGGUCUGCAACAUAGAUCGGGGCUGGGUAGAAGAGGACAUGGAGAGGUGGCAGAGGAGGGAGAUCGUGGAUGGGUGGAAGAGAUGGGGAAGAGGUGAGAUGGAAAUAUUUUUUUUCAGGGAGAGGCCUAGAAGGAACUUUCUCAUGUGGGAUAGUUCGUAGGGACUAUGAUGGAUUUCAUCCGACGGCUCCAGAGAUGCAACUCUAAGAUCGGAUGGAUGAUUUUGUUAAUUUUCUAGGAUUAACAUGGUGUCUCGAUUAGUGCUUCCAAUUAGUAAAUAUAUAAUGUAAGAUGUAUUGUGAUUUAAAAAUUAACGGAAUGCCACCGAUUGAGAUGGUCAUCCAUACCCUCUUGUGGUAAGAAACAAAAAAGGUAUAAAGGCCUACUUUUUCAAUUUGGAUUCCCAAGAAAUAAAUAUGGUUCUACCCGAACAAAUUGACACCGGUGAUCCAACAAAAAAGGAAGAUUCGUUCAAGUAUACAUAAGCUAAUUGCGGUAGUUCUUGCUGUUGUACACCAGGGCAAGAAAGAACCUGCCGAGACUGCCCAAAUAUCAAGCUGAAAAUACCUUAUUCUUUAGUCUAUAGGCCAUAGCUGUAAAUUCCAAAUAUUAAAGGCUAUUUGAUAAAACUGUAGAGAGCAACCAUUACAUACAAUUGCAAAUUGAUUUCCUAUGAACAUGACCUCAAGACUCAAGCCAUAAAUUGAUUUGAUGGGUUAGAAAAUAGAAAACGAAAUUUCAGAAUUCGGAUUACCCUCUUAUUGACUGAUGAUGAAUUGACCUAGAACAAUGUUCAUGUCCAGAGAGCUGCUGCGCCCGUCUCUUGUAGUAGCUCCACUCGGCGGCCUCACCAAUGGUCGUAAUUUGACUGACAUCGGUAUGCCUCAUCCACUUCAUUAACCAUUUUUAUCUCUGUUAGCCUAAAUUGAACUCAUUAGAAGCCAUCAUGAUCACUUCAUCUUCCUUUCAUACUAAGUAAACCAAUCAGGCAUCCCAAGCUGAGCAACAACAACGAAUUUUAGGCCUUAUUUAGCAGCAAUAAUAUGCAAAAUUAGCACUGUUCAGCUAGAGCACUACUUAAAAGCAUGUGAACAGAUCUCAGUACUCCAAAAUUAUUAUUAACAGGUCUGUAACAUGGAUGUUUGUACAGAACCUAUCUGCAGUCUGCAAAUUAUCAUCUUCCAGAAAUUUGUCCAAACACACAAUUAGCAAAAGUUAAGAUAUAGGCCUUUUGCAGGUAAGAAUUGAAGGCAGCACAAACUAAUACACAUGGAAACUUUCAAUCUUCACUGAACUAUUUAGGUUUAGCCACCCUGGGCCGCCUAAUGGUUGCAGGUUGAACAUGACGCUGCUCCCUGGGAGGCUUCUAUAAUCCAAUCAGAGUAGAGAAGAAGUUCUACUCAUAGAUUUAAGAGUAAUCUUACCUCUAGAGGUACAACAAAGCAGAGUUUUCAUGGAUCUAGAAACAAGAAGCAGUGGAGUACGCAUCUAGAUCCAUGAAAAGACGGCCGUGUGGCCGGCUGGACUGUGCAGCAGGGGUACAGAAAGGGGCCUCGCAUGAUUGGGGUGCAACAGCGAGCUAGCCGCUACCGUAGGAGGCCGGCGUAAGAUCGAGAAAGAGGAUGGCCACCGGAGAUAGCAGGACCAUGGUCUGCUGGAGGGAGGACAUGGUGAUUGAGGUCAUGAGGGACAACCUAUGCGUGGAAAGCGUG
This 2922-nucleotide long non-coding RNA is filed under the name Triticum aestivum (bread wheat). Its description in RNAcentral is "long non-coding RNA (TAES_LNC027095)". Lineage: Eukaryota; Viridiplantae; Streptophyta; Magnoliopsida; Poales; Poaceae. The record is from RNAcentral.